This 524-nucleotide ribosomal RNA is filed under the name uncultured bacterium. RNAcentral describes it as "bacterial SSU rRNA". It matches the Rfam family "Bacterial small subunit ribosomal RNA", at positions 777 to 1297 of the family's 1533-position model. The record is from RNAcentral.
AAUAGAUACCCGGGUAGUCCAUGCCGUAAACGAUGUCUACUAGCCGUUGGGGGCCUUUGAGGCUUUAGUGGCGCAGCUAACGCGAUAAGUAGACCGCCGUGGGGAGUACGGUCGCAAGACUAAAACUCAAAUGAAUUGACGGGGGCCUGCACAAGCGGUGGAGCAUGUGGUUUAAUUCGAUGCAACGCGAAGAACCUUACCUGGUCUUGACAUACAGAGAACUUUCCAGAGAUGGAUUGGUGCCUUCGGGAACUCUGAUACAGGUGCUGCAUGGCUGUCGUCAGCUCGUGUCGUGAGAUGUUGGGUUAAGUCCCGCAACGAGCGCAACCCUUUUCCUUACUUGCCAUCGGGUCAUGCCGGGAACUUUAAGGAUACUGCCAGUGACAAACUGGAGGAAGGCGGGGACGACGUCAAGUCAUCAUGGCCCUUACGACCAGGGCUACACACGUGCUACAAUGGUCGGUACGAAAGGGUUGCUACCUAGCGAUAGGAUGCUAAUCUCAAAAAGCCGAUCGUAGUCCGGA